GAUGAACGCUGGCGGCGUGCCUAAUACAUGCAAGUCGAACGAACGGACGAGAAGCUUGCUUCUCUGAUGUUAGCGGCGGACGGGUGAGUAACACGUGGAUAACCUACCUAUAAGACUGGUAUAACUUCGGGAAACCGUAGCUAAUACCGGAUAAUAUUUUGAACCGCAUGGUUCAAAAGUGAAAGACGGUCUUGCUGUCACUUAUAGAUGGAUCCGCGCUGCAUUAGCUAGUUGGUAGGGUAACGGCUUACCAAGGCAACGAUGCAUAGCCGACCUGAGAGGGUGAUCGCCCGCAUGGGAACUGGAACGCGGUCCAGACUCCUAAGGGAGGCGGCAGUCGGGAAUCUUACGCAAUAGGCGAAAGCCUGACGGAGCAAGGGCGCGUGAGUGAUGAAGGUCUUCGGAUCGUAAAAAUCUGUUAUGAGGGAAGAACAGAUGUGUAAGGAGCUGUACACAUCUUGACGGUACCUAGUCAGAAAGCCACGGCUAACUACGUG
RNAcentral lists this ribosomal RNA (497 nucleotides) under uncultured bacterium. RNAcentral describes it as "partial 16S ribosomal RNA". It matches the Rfam family "Bacterial small subunit ribosomal RNA", at positions 28 to 507 of the family's 1533-position model. The record is from RNAcentral.